UCAACAUUUUACACUCACUUACCAUAUUGGCGUUAUUAAUCGUUGUGUUGGAAAAUAAUUUUUUAAUGAACUAGCUGGUGGAGAAACAUCCUCUAUAUUGUUGAGCAAAGGAUACUACUUACAAUCGUUUAAUUCUACUAUCAGCCUCAGUUUAAUAUUAAAAAAAAAAAAACUUUGUGCAUGUGAUAAGUGUGUGUACAGUUACAACUCCUAUUUAGGUGGUGGUGCAACCAUUAUUGGAUUUUAAAAUCUGAGUAGUUAAGAAUUACUUGUUAGAAUUUUUUUGGCAUCUUGUUUGAUAUGACCUUGAUUUUAUUUUUUCCUUUUUUUUUUGGGAAGGGGGAGGCAAGGAGGUACAAUGGUGAAAUUGUUCUGACCUCCUUUGCAAAAGACAAGGAGUAAUUUCAUGUAAUUGAAUAAUAUAGAUAGUGUUGUGGGAAUUUCUAUUCAUUAACAAUUAUUAUAAGUUAUUUAUCUGUUGUAAGCUUUCUUAUUUUUCAUAAAAAGCGAUUUAAUAUGAAAUUUAAGUUUUAAAGAACUUACGGAAUUAUACUCCAGAUCUGCGUGACGGUCACCGCGGAUUUGUUUGGCGGCCGCCACCUGUGGAGGCUAGCUCCAGCAGACUCAAAUCUCUUUUUUUAUUUUUGUUCAUUUCUUUGUUUUAUUUUUUGAAAACACUUCUCCAUUUUUUGAUUUUCAAAAACACUUAUUAAUUUACCAAACAAAUUUUCUUUUGUGGAUCCCACACAACACAUUUUCAAAUGUGGUCCCCGCCAAAAUAAUUCUCAGUUUUCUUUUGAAAACCCAAAACCUUACUUUCCUGCCUCAAGAGUCUAAAGUGUGACUUGGGUAUUGUGUAUUCUUUAGAGAACUUAAAGGUACCAUACAUAAGUGUGGUUGGGGUGGGUGAUACGAGUUCAUCCAUGCUUGUCAAAAGGUUUGAUCAAUAAGUAGAAUACACUUUCAAGUAUAUCAGUCUGUUGCAUACGAUUACCGUCAUACCCCUGAUCAGAUAUUCUAUAAUCACUACUUUCGGGAGAUUUUAUUAUUAUAUCCACAGAAGAAUGGAGAUGCGUACUGUAGAGACAUUCUACACCUAUUUUCUUGUUAUGGUUUUCAGAAGAUACUUAUAUUCUCUCCUUGAGACUUGCAAUAAGAUUGGUACCUUUGAAAGUUCAUUGUAACAGAUAUAUUUAGCAACUUCAAGGGCUUUGUGCCGAGGCUUUGCCUGAAGUUUGGAUUCUGGAUUGUACCACCAUGAGAUUGAAUAGUGAGUCAAUACUUCAAAUUCUACCUCUCCUUAUCACUCUUUCAUAGGUGUCCUCAAGCUACCAUUGAUGCCUCCCAAAGGUUCAUUGGCAUAAGCGACCCUCAUACUAGCCAUUCCAUCUGGCAAAAGACACUGCAAACUACAAGCACCGUAAAGUUAAAGAGUGCAGCGUCAUACUCUCAACAAAAGGGACAAUUUGUUUGAUGCAAUCGACGUGGCUUCUUCAGCUAAAGCAAGCGUCCGAACUCUAGCGGGGUAACUGUUGUGGGUUGAAGGAAAUUUUGGUAGUGUUGUAGCCUGUUUCAGCUAGUAAAAAAGGUAUUACCUUGUUUUACGCUAUGUGGCUUGGUAUUGUUGCACCUGUCUUUUACCAGAAGAGGAUUUUAUUGUCUUCACUGUGAAAUGAUGAAAUGCUAGUCUUACUCUAUGUUGACAUAGAUAUGUGAUUCUCUUCCCCUUUCCCCCGCAUUGAAUAGAAAAAGAAAAAGAAAAAAAGA
Alnus glutinosa is the source of this 1767-nucleotide long non-coding RNA. RefSeq lists it as uncharacterized. The record is from RefSeq and is a predicted model, not a curated record. The transcript is spliced from 3 exons. Lineage: Eukaryota; Viridiplantae; Streptophyta; Magnoliopsida; Fagales; Betulaceae.